RNAcentral lists this ribosomal RNA (1740 nucleotides) under Triticum aestivum (bread wheat). RNAcentral describes it as "partial small subunit ribosomal RNA". The record is from RNAcentral. Lineage: Eukaryota; Viridiplantae; Streptophyta; Magnoliopsida; Poales; Poaceae.
AUGGCACACAUCGUGUCUCUCGGCGUCGACCACAGUCACGGCCAGGAGAUGCUGGAGGACGGCCAGAUCUUCCUCAACGAGCAAGGCGCCUCCGUCACCCUCGGCGACGCCGACAACACUCAACGCGACGAUCUGUGGUAUGUGGACACAGGUGCGUCAAACCACAUGACUGGUGACCGUGGUGCUUUCUCUGAGCUGGACACAGGGAUCACUGGGCGUGUCCGGUUCGGGGACGGCUCGGCCGUCCAGAUUCAGGGGCGCGGCACCGUGCUCUUCGUGGCUCAAGAUGGCCGCCACCGCGUCCUCUCCAACGUCUACUUCAUCCCGCGGCUACAGACGAACAUCAUCUCGGUGGGUCAGCUCGACGAGGUCGGCUGCGAAGUGUCAAUCCAUGGUGGCAUCCUGCGAGUGCGUGACAGGCGUGGCAAUCUCAUUGCGCGCGUGGUCCGGAGCGGCAACCGGCUGUACAAGCUGCCGGUGAAGCUGGCCAAGCCGGUGUGCAUGGCUGCUCGCGUCGACAGGGUGGCCUGGACAUGGCAUGAGCGGUAUGGACAUCUGAAUUUUGAUGCUCUCCGUAGGCUCGCUGCAUCAGGCAUGGUGCGUGGGAUGCCUUCAAUUCAUCAGGUGGACCAGGUGUGCGAUGGUUGUCUGCUAGGCAAGCAACGUCGAAACUCCUUUCCGCGGCAAGCACACUAUCGCGCCGACGAUCGCCUGGACCUGGUGCACGGAGACCUGUGCAGGCCGAUCUCUCCACCCACGCAUGGUGGGAAGCGUCAUUUUCUUCUGCUGGUUGAUGAUAUGAGCAGGUACAUGUGGCUCACACUGCUGUGGUCGAAGGAUGAAGCAGCCGACGCCAUCAAGCGUUUCAAGGCCGGAGUUGAAGCUGAGACAGGACGCAAGCUGCGUACGCUGCGCACAGACAGAGGAUGCGAGUUCACUUCGGUGGAGUUCGCCGCGUACUGUGCUGGAGAGGGGACGCAGCGCCACCUCACCGCGCCAUACUCUCCGCAGCAGAACGGGGUGGUGGAGCGUAGGAACCAGACGAUCAUCUCCAUGGCGAGGUGUCUUCUCAAGGCGCGGCGAGUACCAAAUGAGUUUUGGGGGGAGGCAGUCACCACGGCUGUACUUCUGCUCAACCGCUCACCGACGCAAGCUCUGGACGGGAUGACGCCUUACGAGGCGUGGCAUGGAGCGAGGCCAGCAGUGCACUACCUCAGGACGUUUGGGUGCGUCGCCUACGCCAAGUCCACUCGUCCACACGCCGGCAAGCUCGACGACCGCGGCACCAAGUGCGUCUUCAUCGGCUAUGAGGCAGGGACGAAGGCCUACAAGCUGUUUGACCCGGUGCAGAACCGGGUGAUCAUCUCGCGUGAUGUCGUAUUUGACGAGGCGUCAAGCUGGGACUGGAAAGCCGGCGGUGGUGACGGCGGGUUCACCCUUGAGCACGAGGUACACACUUCCUGGGAUGGUGUGGAGAACACUGCAGGACAAGGCGCGGCCAUGACAAGCACGAGCGCGACACCAUCCAGAACAGCCGACAAGAUGGCGGACCCGGCGACGCCCACAAGCGCUGCGGUGGUGACUGAAUCACCAGAGAACCGUUUUCCUGACUCACCUAGCAGUGAAGCUCCAGCUGUCGAUCCAAGCCCGGUGAAUGCUGCCAUGGCAGCGAAGCAGGCUGUUGCAGCCCCUGGAGGGCGACAUGUGGGCCUGAAAGCAAGUUGGCCCACCUGUCAGUGA